GCCCCCAUCGUCUAGAGGUCUAGGACGCCACCCUUUCAAGGUGAGAACAGGGAUUCGAAUUCCCUUGGGGGCACCA
RNAcentral lists this transfer RNA (76 nucleotides) under Dehalococcoidia bacterium. RNAcentral's name for it is "tRNA-Glu". It matches the Rfam family "tRNA". Rfam says of the family: Transfer RNA (tRNA) molecules are approximately 80 nucleotides in length. Their secondary structure includes four short double-helical elements and three loops (D, anti-codon, and T loops). Further hydrogen bonds mediate the characteristic L-shaped molecular structure. tRNAs have two regions of fundamental functional importance: the anti-codon, which is responsible for specific mRNA codon recognition, and the 3' end, to which the tRNAs corresponding amino acid is attached (by aminoacyl-tRNA synthetases). tRNAs cope with the degeneracy of the genetic code in two manners: having more than one tRNA (with a specific anti-codon) for a particular amino acid; and 'wobble' base-pairing, i.e. permitting non-standard base-pairing at the 3rd anti-codon position. Lineage: Bacteria; Bacillati; Chloroflexota; Dehalococcoidia. The record is from RNAcentral.